RNAcentral lists this ribosomal RNA (164 nucleotides) under Quercus pubescens. RNAcentral's name for it is "5.8S ribosomal RNA". It matches the Rfam family "5.8S ribosomal RNA". Rfam says of the family: 5.8S ribosomal RNA (5.8S rRNA) is a component of the large subunit of the eukaryotic ribosome. Lineage: Eukaryota; Viridiplantae; Streptophyta; Magnoliopsida; Fagales; Fagaceae. The record is from RNAcentral. RNAcentral also lists the same sequence under 1 other name.
AAAACGACUCUCGGCAACGGAUAUCUAGGCUCUCGCAUCGAUGAAGAACGUAGCGAAAUGCGAUACUUGGUGUGAAUUGCAGAAUCCCGCGAAUCAUCGAGUUUUUGAACGCAAGUUGCGCCCGAAGCCAUUCGGCCGAGGGCACGUCUGCCUGGGUGUCACAC